UAUUGCUUUGGCAAUACAUAUACUAAAAUUGGAACGAUACAGAGAAGAUUAGCAUGGCCACUGCAGCAAGGAUGACACGCAAAAUUAUGAAGCGUUCCACUGGUGU
Molecule: small nuclear RNA, 106 nt
Filed under: Strigamia maritima
Lineage: Eukaryota; Metazoa; Arthropoda; Chilopoda; Geophilomorpha; Linotaeniidae
Source: RNAcentral